Non-coding RNA from Trichonephila clavipes, 73 nucleotides. The record is from the annotation of a GenBank genome assembly. Lineage: Eukaryota; Metazoa; Arthropoda; Arachnida; Araneae; Nephilidae.
GUCCCUGUAGUGCAAUGGAUAGCGCUUUAGACUUUUAUUCCAAAGGUAGUGGGUUCUAAUCCCACCUGGGAUG